This 2508-nucleotide long non-coding RNA is filed under the name Salvia miltiorrhiza (redroot sage). RNAcentral's name for it is "long non-coding RNA (SMIL_LNC005255)". The record is from RNAcentral. Lineage: Eukaryota; Viridiplantae; Streptophyta; Magnoliopsida; Lamiales; Lamiaceae.
AAUCAUAACCGUAACUGCCAGCACACCGAGCCAUACAUUUCAAUUUUCAAUUCGAAUAAAAAAAUUCGAGCCCUGAAAAUUGAGGCAACAAGCUCACCAACGGGGUCAGGGACGGGCAGGACGGCGGAGGCGAUGGUGGCGACUGGAGGUGGGGACGACCGGCGGCGCCGAGUGUGAUCUGCCUUGUGUUCUAUGAAGAAUCCUCAGUAUUCAAUGUUAGUGACGAAUGAUAAUAAUCCAAAGUGAGGGUAUGUCCCGAUGAGUGAAACAGGAAUAAGGGUUUGGGCUCAUUCCAUGGGCUUAUUUUUAAAAUGAUGAAUGGGCUUUUUUUUAACAACUUAGCUUUGGGGCUCAUAAUUAAAGGACUAAUGUUAUUAAAAGAAAUUCGGCUGCAAUUAAGUAAAACAAUGAGAAAUUUAGCUUGUUUAAAUUACAUGACAUAUUAGUAAAAUUAGCUAAGUACAUGAUUAGAACAACAUUAGUAAUUUAAAAUUACAUGAUAUAAAACAUAAAUUAUAUGAAAUUAAUGAUUAAAAAAUUACAAGAUAUAAAAUAUAAACUAAUGAAAUUAAUGAUUAAAAAAUUUGUGGGUUAACGUAUAAUUUGAGAAAAAUAUAUAUUGAUAUAAUUGAAAAUCAGAAAAAAUUAAAUGGAGAGAAAAAAUAAAAAGAGUAUUUUUUUUUUUGGAUAUGAGUUUAGUGUAAAAUGUUGAAGAUGACCUAAUAGCAUUUUUAGCCCUAUUUCCAACAAUGCUGCUAAUUGCGUUAUACAUUUAGAUUCAUUUUUUUCAAUGAAUAAAAUAAAAAAUCAAAAUAUUGUAUUUUUUUAGUUGAAGAACUUGCAAACACAUUCAGUUUUUUUUUUCUCUCUUAUACAUUUAGUUUUAUAUUGUUAUCGGAUAAUUAGUUUGGGAUAUAAGAUGAAAUAGUUUUGUCUAUUUAAUUUUGUGUUAAUAAUGAAAAUUACCUAUUUCAGUUUGUAAGGAAAAAAUAUUCAUUUUUUUAUAAUAUAUAAAAAUAGUUUUUUCUUCUGUCUCAAUUCAUUUUUACUUAUUCCCUUCAAUAUGUAUGAUGUGUUUCUUUUAUAAUUUUAAGAAAUAAAAUAGAAGUUUCCAUCAAACAUGAUGAAGAUUAAAACAUAUUUAUGGUAGAAUUGAGAGAUUUGAAGUCAUGUAAAAAAUAGAACAUUCGAAUACAAUAUAUGUGAAUAUGACCUUUUUUUUUAAAUGUUAAAAUCAACUUUUACUUUGUGUUUAUCUUAAUAUUAUUUAUAAUAUAUUUUAGCUAUUUAAUAAUUAUAAUAUCAUCACACGAUGUCAUGUCCGUGCGUGGAUAUGACUAGUACUUCCUCCGUCCCAAACGAAAUGUCCUGUUUUCCUUUUUGGGCUAUCCCAAACGAAAUGUCUUGUUUCCUUUUUUGGCAAUACUCUCUCUCUAUACUUAAUAUUUAAAUAAUUUCCACCAACCCACUUAAUCUACUUUAUACACAUUUCUUAAUCUCCGUGCAGAAAAGAAAUAAGUCAUUUCGUUUGGAAAUUUUGACAAUUUCUUUUUCAAAAUNUUAGCAGACUAUCUUACAAACCAAGAUUGCAACAUGCAGUAUAUUAGGCUCACCUGUAUAUUAUGCAUACCAAUAUAUUAUGCGUACCUGGAUAAGCAUGUGUAUAUUAUGCGUACCUAGAUUAUGCUUACAUGUAUAUUAUGGGUACUAGUAUAUUAUGCGUACCUGUAUAUUAUGAGUACUAGUAUAUUAUGUAUACCUGGAUUAAGCGUACCAGUAUAUUAUGUGUACCUGGAUAAACAUGCAUAUAUUAUGCGUACCAGUAUAUUAUGCGUACAUGCAUAAUAUGUGUAACAGUAUAUUAUGCGUACCAAUAUAUGAUUGCAGCUAACUUCAACCAAGAUUGCAGCAUCCAGUAUAUUAGGCGUACUAGUAUAUUAUGCGUAUCAGUUUUUUAUGCAUACCUGGAUUAUGCGUACCGGUAUAUUAUGCAUACCAGUGUAUGAUUGCAGCUAACUUCAGCCAAGAUUGCAGCAUCCAGUAUAUUAUGCGUACCAAUAUAUUAUGUGUGCCUGGAUAACAUGUAAUGCUUCAACUGCUGCUUCUUUGACAGAUGUUGUUCGAGGGAGAUGUGAAGGCGAAGUAGUUUUUUAGUUACUGAUUCUCUAAUGCUCUCACUCACGUAUAUCAAACAAAAACAAUUUGCAGCCCUAAAUCAUAACCGUAACUGCCAGCACACCGAGCCAUACAUUUCAAUUUUCAAUUCGAAUAAAAAAAUUCGAGCCCUGAAAAUUGAGGCAACAAGCUCACCAACGGGGUCAGGGACGGGCAGGACGGCGGAGGCGAUGGUGGCGACUGGAGGUGGGGACGACCGGCGGCGCCGAGUGUGAUCUGCCUUGUGUUCUAUGAAGAAUCCUCAAUAUUCAAUGUUAGUGACGAAUGAUAAUAAUCCAAAGUUGAGGGUUGUACUGGUCCCGAUGAGGUGGCGAAAUCAGUGGGGGAAAUAGA